AGCAGCCGCGGUAAUUCCAGCUCCAAUAGCGUAUAUUAAAGUUGUUGCAGUUAAAAAGCUCGUAGUUGAAUUUCGGGAUUGACAUGUUGGUCGUGCCUUAAGGGGUAUGAACUGACAUUGUCGAUUUCUCACCUUCUGGAGAAUCACGAUGCUCUUAAUUGGGUGUCGUGUGGAUCCAGGACCUUUACCUUGAAAAAAUUAGAGUGUUUAAAGCAGGCAUUUUUGCUCGAAUACAUUAGCAUGGAAUAAUAAAAUAGGACGGCUUGGUUCUAUUUUGUUGGUUUCUAGGAUCACCGUAAUGAUUAAUAGGGAUAGUUGGG
Molecule: ribosomal RNA, 320 nt
Filed under: uncultured Glomeromycotina
Lineage: Eukaryota; Fungi; Glomeromycota
Description: SSU rRNA
Rfam family: Eukaryotic small subunit ribosomal RNA
Source: RNAcentral